GACGAACGCUGGCGGCGUGCCUACUACAUGCAAGUAGAACGCAGUUGCGCACGCGUGAGUAACGCGCAGGUAACUGCCUCAUAGCGGGGGAUCACUAUCGGAAACGAUAUCUAAUACAGCCUACUGUGAGAUGGACCUGCUUUGUAUUAGCUAGUUGGUGAGGUAAAGGCUCACCAAGGCGACGAUACAUAGCCGACCUGAGAGGUUGAUCGGCCAAACUGGGACUGAGACACGGCCCAGACUCCGACGGGAGGCAGCAGUAGGGAAUCUUCGGAAAUGGACGGAAGUCUGACCGAGCAAGGGCGCGUGAGUGAGGAAGGUUUUCGGAUCGUAAAGCUCUGUUGUUAGAGAAGCGGUAACUAGCCAGAAAGGGACGGCUAACUACGUACCAGCAGCCGCGGUAAUUC
RNAcentral lists this ribosomal RNA (407 nucleotides) under uncultured bacterium. Its description in RNAcentral is "partial 16S ribosomal RNA". It matches the Rfam family "Bacterial small subunit ribosomal RNA", at positions 28 to 526 of the family's 1533-position model. The record is from RNAcentral.